AGAGUUUGAUUAUGGCUCAGGAUGAACGCUAGCGGCAGGCUUAACACAUGCAAGUCGAGGGGCAACGCGAGUAGCAAUACUUGGCGGCGACCGGCGCAAGGGUGCGUAACGCGUGAGCAACAUGCCCGUAUCAGGGGGAUAAUCCAGGGAAACUUGGUCUAAUACCCCAUAGUAAUUUUGUAAGGCAUCUUAUAAGAUUUAAAGCUUUGGUGGAUACGGAUUGGCUCGCGUGACAUUAGCUGGAUGGUAAGGUAACGGCUUACCAUGGCUAUGAUGUCUAGGGGUUCUGAGAGGAAGGUCCCCCACACUGGAACUGAGACACGGUCCAGACUCCUACGGGAGGCAGCAGUGAGGAAUAUUGGACAAUGGAUGGAAAUCUGAUCCAGCCAUGCCGCGUGAAGGAAGAAGGUCCUAUGGAUUGUAAACUUCUUUUGUAUGGGAGCAAUAAGGCCUACGAGUAGGUUGAUGAGAGUACCAUACGAAUAAGCACCGGCUAACUCCGUGCCAGCCGCGGC
RNAcentral lists this ribosomal RNA (515 nucleotides) under uncultured bacterium. RNAcentral's name for it is "bacterial SSU rRNA". It matches the Rfam family "Bacterial small subunit ribosomal RNA", at positions 8 to 518 of the family's 1533-position model. The record is from RNAcentral.